This 253-nucleotide ribosomal RNA is filed under the name uncultured bacterium. Its description in RNAcentral is "partial 16S ribosomal RNA". It matches the Rfam family "Bacterial small subunit ribosomal RNA", at positions 524 to 776 of the family's 1533-position model. The record is from RNAcentral.
UACGGGGGGUGCGAGCGUUGUCCGGAAUCACUGGGCGUAAAGGGCGCGUAGGUGGUUUGAUAAGGGUGUGGUGAAAGCCCGGGGCUCAACCCCGGGUCUGCCGUGCCGACUGUCAAACUCGAGGGCUGUAGAGGCAGACGGAAUUCCGGGUGUAGCGGUGGAAUGCGUAGAGAUCCGGAGGAAGACCGGUGGCGAAGGCGGCCUUCUGGACAGUGACUGACGCUGAGACGCGAAAGCGUGGGGAGCAAACAGG